Molecule: unclassified non-coding RNA, 1142 nt
Filed under: Achillea schmakovii
Lineage: Eukaryota; Viridiplantae; Streptophyta; Magnoliopsida; Asterales; Asteraceae
Description: partial miscellaneous RNA
Source: RNAcentral
UAGGAGUUGGAGGCAGCAGGUCUGGGCACGGGUCGGCUUAUGAAACGAUUGAUGUGUGUUCCGUGCCUUACGCCGAUGGCAACUCCGCCCCUCUAGUUGGUGUCGCCUCGCAAGGCACCAGCCGGGCUUGAUAGAAAUUCAAGCCUGCGGUGACGGGAUCCCUAUCGUUGAUUUUUUUCGAAAAAAAAAAAAAAUUUUCAAAAAAAAUCAACGAUAGGUAUCUCGUCAUCGGUGCGGGGACGGUGGGUUUCCUAUGUUGAUCUUGCUUGUGUAUUUGCUGGACGGAAUUAGUUUCGAAUGCUUCGUUAGUGACCCGACUCUAGUUCUUGGCAGCCCGUGAUUAAGCGAGUCCUCGAGCUGUGACCUCGGACGUAACUACGUCAUAUGUGGUUGUUAAGACGAUGAGCUUGUUUCUUUUAGCGACUUGAUCCGAUGACGAUGCGCCCGUGAUUUAGCGAGUCCUCGAGCUUCGAUCUCGGACUCGACCACAUCAUAUGUGGUUUCGGAGUUGUUUGGUCUUGUUGCCCGGGGCAUGUUUAGACACUCAUUCCUUUGACGCGAAUACAUUGGCAAGAAGUGAUGCAUGGCCGCUAAAGAUUGUCCUGGUUCCUGAUUUUCGCAUCGUUCGGUGCAUUCUGGGGCUGUUUUGGCUUUUGGUUGCUUGCCUGGCCUAUGAGCCGAACGGGUGGCUUCAAGUUGGGAUGGCUUCGGGGAUGAUGUCCGUAAAGGUGCAUGAGUGGUGUUUGGUUUGUUACGUGUGGUUGGCUGCGGCGCUUGCAACAACUUCCAUGCUUUCAAGCCUCUUCAGUUAUGCGGCAAGGCUUGUAUCGCCUUGAGCGUGUUGCGGGUUUACUGUGUUGAAUACCUGAUCGACGGUACCGGUUGGAUAGAUCAAAAGUUCAUUUCGUCUUGCGUUGCAUUCGCGGCGUGAGGUGAACCAUGACGCGGUCUCUUUGAUCCACCUUGAUGAAGGAAUGUUUCAUCAUCGUGGCCCAUUGAGCAUUGCUUGGUCUCUCGUAUACGGAACAUGUAGUGGGCAUGGAUCUAACGAUUCUUGUUUGCCCUAUUUCUAGCGUUCUCGCUUCUCUAAAACGACUUGUGCUACGUGUUGGCUAGUCCAAUCGUGGUGCUACGUCGAAGAG